AGAUGUAAAUUAAAAUGAUAUGUUAGAAUAUAAUGGUGAGUGUGUGUGUGUCAAUAAUAAACAAACAGGCAAGGCAGGGUUUGAGAAAAGUGCAACUGAAUCCACCAACCCUAUAAAGAAAAAAAAAGACAACUCCCUAAUUAAACAUGCACACCCCUUUUCUAAACAAACUCCUCUCCUUCUUCCUCUUCCUCUCUUCUUCUUCUCAUUGUCUGACCCUACUUAAGAUAACAUACUUCGAUCCAUCGUCGUUGUCGUCUUUACCUCUCGGGUUGUAAAAACUAAUCUCUCUCGACGUGCACCGAUAGAAGUAUACAUAUAUUUAUGAGAAGUGAAGGUAGUUGUUGCUCGUUUUCUUACUUCAAGGUCUUGCUUGGAGCUGUGGCUGUUGGGAUGUUUGUAUGGCUUUUAAUCGUUGGCAUGCCCAACAGCGGCGAACAGUUGGUAGCAAAAACAACAAGCUCGCAGGCAGCUAGGUCUGAGUUUGUGGGAAGCCAUAUGAAGCCAGCUAAGGAGCUUAACUUCAUGAGCAAAGUUAAGGUCCCUAAAGGACCGGACCCAAUUCAUAACAGGCGAACUGGAGUAAAAGGACGGCCUCCCGCCUUAACUUAGGCUUAGGCUUCCUCCAGUUUGAGAGGAACUCAUGCCUCUUGGUUCUUCUCAACGUUACCCUUUACUGUUAAUCAACUUCAAACAACAUGCCUCUUAUUUGUAUUCUAAUUUCAAUAAUCCAAAAUAAAAAACGUCUGGAUUGUACA
Cucurbita maxima (winter squash) is the source of this 758-nucleotide long non-coding RNA. RefSeq lists it as uncharacterized. The record is from RefSeq and is a predicted model, not a curated record. NCBI's taxonomy places the organism in Eukaryota, Viridiplantae, Streptophyta, Magnoliopsida, Cucurbitales, Cucurbitaceae. The transcript is spliced from 2 exons.